UGUCGAAAUACACUUGUCAUAUUCUGUCCCCACUAUUUGCUUGGACGUAUGUAUUUUAAAAUUACAUUACAGCCAGGCUUUAUUGCAUCAGGAUAAUACAGUGUGCUUGGAGGAAAAAUUAAAUAACCCUCCAAAAUCCCAUCAAUAGUUCCUUUCCAGAUUCCCCCCCCCUCCCGACUUCGAUUAUGAUUAAUCUUUUUUUUUCUUUUUUCUUUUUUAAAUAAUAUUUCUAACCAGAGGCAGAAGGAACGAACAGAUCACCAGAUGGUCCCCUUUCGCAUUUGCUUUUUUACGGAAAAGGCUUGUGCUGGAAGCAAUAUAUAACAAGGCUUCGCUCUGAAAUCCGGCAGGACUCUGCCCCACAAGUUUUCAUGCGACUGGAUUCUCUCCCCUCCCCUUUUAAGACCACGUUUUGAAUGCAGAAUGGAACAAAUAAAUGAGAACACGACUCCUGAAUGCAGAAAGAAACCCCAAAGAGUGUUGGAUAGCCGUAUUUCUGAAGACAACACACAUUCAGUUAAUGAAUUAAUGUUAUUAAUUGUGUUGCUGCCACAAAGUGUCCAAGGUGAUGUACAAUUUCUAAGAAUUCAACUAACUUUAAAAAAAUGAAUUCAUGGAGUUUGCUACCACAAGGAUGGUAGCAAUUUGUGAUUUGUAUUUCUUCAACGGAUGUAAUUUUAUUGCUGGUUUUAUCCUGCUUACCAUCAUGAUAGUUUCCCCCCCUUAAUGUUGCCAGUAUAGAAUUUUUUUGCAAAGGAAAUGUUGGUGGUUCCCAGCUUAGUUGGAUCUUUUAAAUGAAAAUUAGACAAUUCGUAGAGGAUUGGGCAGUCGAUCCUUACUGUUAAAUCACAUCCCCAUAUACAAAGACAGCAUACCUCUUAGUAUUAGAUAACUGAGAUAAACAACACAACAGGAAAAAGCUGUCCUCUUCACGCUCUGCUUACAAGUCUGCCCAGGGCCAUCUCACAGCUCAGUGGAAACAGUAUGCUGGGCUGUGUUUGGAUCCAGGGUUUUUUUAUGUUCAGUGUGUGAUUUUGCUCCAAGUUCAGGAUUUCCGCCUUUAUUUCAGUAGCUGGGAUUGAGACAAAAGACCGAGUCACACUGAGGUUGUAUGCAAAGUGGAUUACACAGAGUUUAGCAUGUGUCUCCCAAGACUUUGCUACAUGGUCAUCAUAGUCAAUUGUUUUCUUAACCAGCACCUGGUUCAGAAUUCAACUCAAUAUUAUGAUGUGUGGGAGGAACCAAAGCCAUGAGCAUAGCCAGGCUUUAUGUUAGUGGGGCAGAACCU
Molecule: non-coding RNA, 1288 nt
Organism: Podarcis muralis (Common wall lizard)
Lineage: Eukaryota; Metazoa; Chordata; Lepidosauria; Squamata; Lacertidae
Source: RefSeq, a predicted model, not a curated record